This 750-nucleotide ribosomal RNA is filed under the name uncultured bacterium. Its description in RNAcentral is "bacterial SSU rRNA". It matches the Rfam family "Bacterial small subunit ribosomal RNA", at positions 44 to 794 of the family's 1533-position model. The record is from RNAcentral.
GGGAAGUCUUAAUGGCAGUCGAGCGAAGCGAUAAGGUGAAAUUUUUCGGAAUGAAGCCAUAUUGACUUAGCGGCGGACGGGUGAGUAACGCGUGGGUAACCUGCCUCAUACAGGGGGAUAACAGUUAGAAAUGACUGCUAAUACCGCAUAAGCGCACAGGACUGCAUGGUCCGGUGUGAAAAACCGAGGUGGUAUGAGAUGGACCCGCGUCUGAUUAGCUGGUUGGCGGGGUAACGGCCCACCAAGGCGACGAUCAGUAGCCGACCUGAGAGGGUGGCCGGCCACAUUGGGACUGAGACACGGCCCAAACUCCUACGGGAGGCAGCAGUGGGGAAUAUUGCACAAUGGGGGAAACCCUGAUGCAGCAACGCCGCGUGAGUGAAGAAGUAUUUCGGUAUGUAAAGCUCUAUCAGCAGGGAAGAGAAUGACGGUACCUGACUAAGAAGCCCCGGCUAACUACGUGCCAGCAGCCGCGGUAAUACGUAGGGGGCGAGCGUUAUCCGGAUUUACUGGGUGUAAAGGGAGCGUAGACGGUUCUGCAAGUCUGAAGUGAAAGCCCGUGGCUUAACCGCGGAACGGCUUUGGAAACUGUGGAACUGGAGUGCUGGAGAGGCAAGCGGAAUUCCUAGUGUAGCGGUGAAAUGCGUAGAUAUUAGGAGGAACACCAGUGGCGAAGGCGGCUUGCUGGACAGUAACUGACGUUGAGGCUCGAAAGCGUGGGGAGCAAACAGGAUUAGAUACUCUGGUAGU